This 2607-nucleotide long non-coding RNA is filed under the name Pan troglodytes (chimpanzee). Its description in RNAcentral is "lincRNA". Lineage: Eukaryota; Metazoa; Chordata; Mammalia; Primates; Hominidae. The record is from RNAcentral.
AAAUUGGAUGGAAAGAAAUUCUGUGUGCUCCCAGGAUUCCAGUUCCUUACCGGAGGUUGGUGCCGUCUGAGUCUGAAAAGCUGCCCUCUUGCCGUGUUCAUGCUUUGGUAGAACACCUUCAGAGCCUUGGCAAGCUCUCGGUCAGAGCCGGCUUGCUGUGUGCACAUUUGGCUCAUCUCCCUGGCGGAUGGCAGUUGCACAGUCAUCCCGCCGAUCUUCAGAGUGUUGGAAGGCUUCAGGGCUGAGGUGGAAAAAGGUAACAUUGAUUUAUGUAUCUCUUUCUCUGGGCAUCUCUAUAUUUAUUUAUUUUGGUGGCAUUCUACUGCAUCAGCAUUUAUCAGGCACCAGUUUGGAUCCAUCCAAGGGAAAGGGGAAAUCUCACAGGGCAGAAGAAAUGUCCGGCAUUUUUUGUUUAUGAAACAAGAUAUGAAUUAACUCAUUUAAAAGUUUGUUUCUUAAAAGACAAAUACACAUCCCAAAUGUAGGAGUCUAGGGAUAAGCUAAACAGCCAAGCCUGGAGCAGUCUCUCACCUUGACCAGAAGCAAUUUUUGCAAGUGAUGCUUUGAGAAGCACGUUCUGCUCUCUCAGGGUUCUGUUAAUGUUCCUGAGCAGUUCUGUCUCCUGCUCUAGCUUGAGCAGCUUCAGAUAAAGUUCUGGUAUCUGGUUUGAUGCUGCCUACCAGAAAACAUGUCAGUUUCAUCUUUUGUUGUAUCAUCUGCAUAUCCUUUGAGACUGGCAAUGUUUGCUACCAUGGGAAAAUCAAAUGGGAUGGGAGUGUGUGUAUGGUGAGCAGAGUUUAAGCCCCUCAGGGUACACAGGAGUAAAUAAAGAAAACGUUUGUUAAGGGGGAAGGAACGUCAAGCAGCCGUCAUCAGAGAUUUUCUAGCCACCUGGGAUGCCCACUUUAGUGUCCUAUGUACACACUUGGCUUAUAUCCUUCACAGUGGAAAUUUUCUUGGUGUCUACCAGGAUGUGGCCUUCACCUGUGACCCUGAGGCCCAGCUGAGAGCAGCUCAGCUCGGUGCAGCCUUCUGUAAUGGGGAGAGACACAGUCAAAGAAAGAAACAUCCCAGUCGCCCAGCUCCAGUGUCAGCUUCAUGCAGUAGGCCAGCGACUGGAGCCAGAUGUGAGCUGAGCCCAAACAGACGACCUCGACAGGAUCCCAGAAAGGGUCGUCUUCUCGAGCCACAGGGCCGUGAUCUCCAUCUAGAAAGCGCUGGUAAAGUUCCUGCAUUAGGAAUUUCCUAUUGAUGAACUUGGCUUUUGACCAUAUCCACACCUGGAAACACAGAGGGGUUCACACCCAGUGCACAGCAGAUCCAGGACAACAGCCUGCCGCUGUCUUCCUCCUCACUGGGUGAGGACAGGGCCUCUGUCAACACUGGCUCUGGAGAGGAAACAAACCUGAAGCCACAGGAGGAGGGAUUCCAGAGGGAUUCCAGCCGCCCUCUCCAGCUGGAAGAAGUCGUAAUCGAACCUGCUCAGGUCCUCACUGCCCCACUCCGAAGGAAACCCCACGUACAGGUGAGGUCAGAGGAGUGAAGUGACUUGCCCAAGACCACACAGCGAGUCAGGAGCAGGCCUGUCCCUCCAGCAGUGGUGCCAUGUUGUCCCCAAGCCAUGGUGGCAGAGGAGCUGGUGUGAAUGCCCCAUCCUGCCACGUCUGUGAUGUGGGCACCUCACAUGACUGUCCCCUCCCAGCUUUUGGGGGGGACCUAGGACAUUCUGUGAGCCUGCAGGAAAGUUUACCAAAUGCUGCAGCUUUGUCCUGGUGGUGAUGGGCACCCCAUUAACGGCAACCUUGCAUUUGCUGUGUGGAGUGACCAUCACUUUACCGUCGGCAUUUGUGAAGGAAGCGUGUUUAUCUGAAAUUCUAAGAAGACGAGAGUCAGUCUAAGACACCCAGCAAACGGCGGUUUCCGUGAGCAGGUACGCUGACCUUUCUCAUGUGCACGGGAGGGAAGGUCUACAGCUGCGGAGGAUGGCAGGUGGCAUCUCGGGGCCUCCUGUGUGCUGUGGCCCAUGAUGCAUGGGGACAGCAGCGGGCGCAGAAGGACCCUGCCCUUGGGGAGCACGGGGAGCUGGGAGACAGCAGGUAAGGGCUUCAUAACAGAACGAACACCAGCUGAGGGCCUAGCGCUGCGGGGAGCCGGCCAAGGCCACACUGGAGUCCUCCCGCUCCCAGGCCAGCGGGAUGGGGUGGUGGGAAAAUGGCAGCAAGCAAGCUUCAGAAGAGACACUCAGGAGGCGACUCUUAACGAGCCUCACCUACUCCGGGGUUGGAGCCCAGGAAGCAAACCAGCACUGCACCCUAGAUUUCAGCCAGAGGACGAAAGCCCUGCCCUCAGCUUUCUCAGACCAGCCCUGGAGUAGGUGGCCCGGGGAGACCUGGGCAGUGUCCCUGCUUGUCCUGCAGACUGUGUGGCUCUGCAGACCUCUAGAUGGAGGAGGCACAAUUCUCUAAUGCUAGACGAGGACACUGAUCAUGGAAACUCACCCCAAACCUUGAAUCGUGAUAGCAUUUGAGGCAGCCCGACCAGCGUCACAUGAACCUGAAAAGAAUCAAGAUAUAAUUUAUUUUGAAAAUAAAUCAGACACUUUCAGAA